CCCCUCUCAGAGUUGCACCUGGAGAGUUUCUAGUACUCUACCAGUCUCAACUACGGGAGGGAGAAUCAAGCAGAGGCAUAUCGAUUCCAUUCCUAGCUUGGCCAGUGGCUAGCGAAUGGCAGGCAAUCUGCUCCAAGU
Molecule: small nucleolar RNA, 138 nt
Organism: Ornithorhynchus anatinus (platypus)
Lineage: Eukaryota; Metazoa; Chordata; Mammalia; Monotremata; Ornithorhynchidae
Source: RefSeq, a predicted model, not a curated record